Molecule: ribosomal RNA, 459 nt
Filed under: uncultured bacterium
Lineage: Bacteria
Description: partial 16S ribosomal RNA
Rfam family: Bacterial small subunit ribosomal RNA
Source: RNAcentral
CCUACGGGAGGCAGCAGUGAGGAAUAUUGGUCAAUGGGCGCGAGCCUGAACCAGCCAAGUCGCGUGAGGGAAGACGGUCCUAUGGAUUGUAAACCUCUUUUGUCGGGGAGCAAAAGACGCCACGCGUGGCGUUCCGAGAGUACCCGAAGAAAAAGCAUCGGCUAACUCCGUGCCAGCAGCCGCGGUAAUACGGAGGAUGCGAGCGUUAUCCGGAUUUAUUGGGUUUAAAGGGUGCGCAGGCGGAAGAUCAAGUCAGUGGUAAAAUUGAGAGGCUCAACCUCUUCGAGCCGUUGAAACUGGUUGUCUUGAGUGAGUGAGAAGUAUGCGGAAUGCGUGGUGUAGCGGUGAAAUGCAUAGAUAUCACGCAGAACUCCGAUUGCGAAGGCAGCAUACCGGCGCUCAACUGACGCUCAUGCACGAAAGUGUGGGUAUCGAACAGGAUUAGAUACCCCGGUAGUC